GACGAACCGUGCGAACGUUGUUCGGAUUCACUGGGCUUAAAGGGCGCGUAGGCGGGUGAUCAAGUCCGGGGUGAAAUCCUUCAGCUCAACUGGAGAAUAGCCUUGGAUACUGGUCGCCUCGAGGGAGGUAGGGGCGGGCGGAACUUCCGGUGGAGCGGUGAAAUGCGUAGAUAUCGGAAGGAACGCCGGUGGCGAAAGCGGCCCGCUGGACCUCUUCUGACGCUGAGGCGCGAAAGCCAGGGGAGCGAACAGG
Molecule: ribosomal RNA, 253 nt
Filed under: uncultured bacterium
Lineage: Bacteria
Description: partial 16S ribosomal RNA
Rfam family: Bacterial small subunit ribosomal RNA
Source: RNAcentral